UGGAAGGACAAGAAAUAUAUUUCUCUUGAACGCAAGGAAUACAUUAAAUAUUUGGGACUUUUACUAGAUGAACAUUUAACUUGGAAACAACAUAUAGAUUAUGUAGCAUGCAAAGUAAGCAAAACAAUCGGAAUCAUCGCCAAACUCCGACAUUUUGUUCCUCUUCAGGUACUUACAAGUAUCUAUCGAUCACUUAUUUCCCCCUAUCUAUCCUACGCUAUUACUGUUUGGGGAAAUGCUUCUCAAACUAAUUUAAAAAAACUCUUGGUACUUCAAAAGCGUGCUCUACGGUUAAUGCAUUUCGCUAAUAAUCGCGAUCAUGCCGUUCCUUUCUUCAAAAAUACAAAUAACUUGCCUAUUAACAUGUUAUAUGUUGAAACAGUUUCAAAAUUAAUGUACGACAUUAGUCAUAAUUCAGCACCUAGAAAUGUAAUGGAUCUCUUUACUCAAGUUGCUACUGUUCAUUCCUAUAAUACCAAAUCCUCUACUGCUGGUAAUUAUCAGAUAAAAUAUUCUCGUACAAAUCAACAGCAUAAUGCUUUCUCUAGAGUUGGUGCUAAAGUAUGGAAUUCUGUCCCUGAACAUCUCCGCGAUCUUAAAAAAAAAGAUUUCACUAGUAAGAUUCACACUUUACUAAUCGAAAUUAUAAAUAACGAAGAUGACUAUGUUGAUCUCCCUAUGAUUUUGCAGAGAAUGUCUGUUUGAUCUUAUUUUUAAUAUUUCAUGGGUACGUUAUUAACAGUACAUCAUUCAUCAAUCAGAUCCUACACCACCUUUCAAAUUCCACCGCUAAUGAUACAUUUCUUUAAUUUUUUUUUAUUUUUUAUUUUUUCUGCACGUAUAUAUACAGUAAAAUUGUCUGCAACUAAUUGAAAUUAUAACUGUCUAAAUUUAUAUUUCAUGCCCGCCUCUGAUUAGCUAUUGCUAUUUGCGGGUCAUGUUAUUUCUAUCUUAUGUAUUUUAUUUUAUUGAAUAAAAUUGUAUUGUAUUGUAUUGUAUUGUUGGGUUCUAAUGUAAAAGCUAAGUUAAACAACAACGAUACAUUUGAUAGGUUUAGUUGGUUUCCAAAAAUUGGGUGGAACACUCCUGCACAUUCAUUCAAGGUUUAUGUGGACGGUAAAAGCUUCUUUGUAACUUCCGGGGAGGCCGGCGGAAAUAUGCUUCCUAAAAUUGAAGACAGUAUUAAGAUUGAUGGUGUAAGUACAGUGUUCGACUAUAAGAAACCCUACUUUGCAGCUCUUUGCGGCGCAUAUAUCGCA
Non-coding RNA from Paramuricea clavata, 1259 nucleotides. NCBI's taxonomy places the organism in Eukaryota, Metazoa, Cnidaria, Anthozoa, Malacalcyonacea, Plexauridae. The record is from the annotation of a GenBank genome assembly.